UUUAAGUAGUUCAUUAGUGUUAAUUAUGUUCACAUUGUUUUACAAUCUCCAGAACUUUUUUAUCUUGUAAAACUGAAACUUUAUAUCCAUUAAAUAGCCACUCCCAUUUACUCCAUCACAAAUCCCCUAACAACCACCAUUCUGCUUUCAGCUUCUUAGUUUGACUUCUCUAGAUACCUCAUAUAAGUGAAGCCAUUUACUGUUUGUCUUUUUGUGACCAGUUUAUUUUACUUAGAUGUGAUGUCCUCAAGGUUGUUGUUGAUACAUGUUGUCAUCAACACUGUGUAAAUCGGGUUAUUUGGUGUGUUUUUUUGUUGAGUUGUAGAAGUUUCUAAUAUAUUCGAGAUAUUAGCUCAUCAGAUAUAUGCUUUACAAAUAUUUCCUCCACAGCUCCACAGGUUGCCUUUUCAUUCUGUUGAUUGUGUCCUUUGAUCUAUAGAAGUUUUAAAUUUUGGUAAAGUCCAGUUAAAGUUUGUAAUUUUGAUGAAGCCCAUAUCUGUUUUUUCUUUUGUGGCUUAUAGUUUGGAGUCAUAUCUAAGCAUCCAUUACUAAAUCCAAGAUUUACAUCUGUGUUUCCUGUGAGGAGUUUUAUGGUUUUAGCUGAGGUCAUUCAUUCAUUUUGAAUUACUUUUUAUACAUGGUGUGAGCAUAUUGGGCCCCAAGAACUUAGAAAUAAUUGCAAGUAAGGAAGAUUUACUUUUGUUACCAUUUGUCUGAUUGCUCACACGAAGUGCCCACCAUGUCAAGGCCUGCCUGUUGCAUUUUUCUCAUAUAUCACUGUUAGUUGUUAGGUCUACCAAGUGCUAACAGCACCUGAUCUCGAUAAUAAGCGUUGUAACAGAGGCAGAGAACAUUCAGUUAAGAGGAGUUUUAGAUUUCCUCUCCAGGAAGUCACAAACUGCAGAAAACUAGCAGAAUAGGCCCAGUCUUAAAACAGAAACAGGAAACAAGAUUUUGACACUUUCAGCAAGAAGGCUUUGGCCGACCACGUGUGUACCAUGCUGCAAUUGUAAUCUUCCUUGAAUUUUUUGCUUGGGGCCUGUUGACAACUCCAAUGCUAACUGCACUAGACGAAUGAAACAUGGACUUGGUCAUCUCAGAACUCACAGAAAUUGGGAGUUGAUAUGUAAACACCAAAGCACAAUACCAAAAUCCUGAAAGUUUGACUCACAAACUAAAAAGCAUGAGGUAAUAUCAAUUAUAUGCUUCUUUAUUAAAUACUGUGCUAAAUGUUAUAGCUUUAAAGAUGUCAAAUGAUUAAGGCAGCCCUGCCUUCAAGGAAUACUCAUGCAGUGGAGGGGAGAAGGUGUGAAUACAGAUGCUAUAAAAAGGGGUGUGGAUGGAAUAUUUCUUAAGGCUGUUGUAUGCGUUUCCUAUUAAUCCUGUAACAAAGACCAUAAGUGUAUUGUCUCAAAACAACUCACAUUUAUUAUUUACAGGCUAUGGUUCAGAAGUGUGACGUCAGUCUCACUGAAUUAUGAUCAAGGCACUGCCAGGGCUGUGUGCCCUCACGGAGGCUAUAGAGGAUGUUUGCUGACCUUACCUAACUUCUAUAUCUAGCCACAUUUCUAGGCUUGUUGCCAGCUUUUACCAUGUUGAAAGUCAUCGACAUGACAGUUUCUUAUGCUCUUAUAUUAGCGUCUUAUUUCCCUCUGACUCUCUUGUUCUGCCUUCCUUUUCCACUUUUAAGGACCCUUGGAAUCACAUUGAGCCCAUCUGGAUAAUCCAAAGUAAGCUUUCUCAGUUCCUUUGGCAAUACAAAUUGCCCUUUUCUGUGUGACCGAAAGUAGUCACAGGUUCUGGAAAUUAGGAUUCUGACUUCUCUGAAAUCAUAGUGCUAUCAAACUGCAAAAAACAAAAAAAAAAUUCAGACUAAGUGAGAUAAUGUCUAUAAAAUACUUUGCAAAAUAUAAAGGGUAAUGCUAAUGUAAGGUGUUAUGGUAGCAGGUUGCUCUGGUUUGACUAUGCAGGGAUAUAGAGUUAGGUCACAUGCCUUUCUCCUCUCCUCCUUCUGGGCCUCUAAUGACUUGCCUAUUUCCAUGACUUUGUUAUUUUGAUAUAAAAAGAUGGCACUUUUGUAGUUCAAAGUCAGGCUCUUACUCCUGUGUACGGAAAAUGGAACCAUCAAAUAUUUUCGUUUGUUCUGGACAUACUAAUCCUGACAUGUUGAUCUGUAUACAUCCCCUGAUUUCUGUGGGUCCCAGAAUUACCAUGGAUAGAAUCCCUGGCCACAGUUGUGAUUCAGACAAAUGAAACAUGACUUAUGGGCUGAAAAUGAGGAUAUAUGAUUAACAUUAAAAAUCCAGGUUUAAAUGAGGGCAAUGCCUGUUCCACUUUUUCUCCCACUUCAUAACUCCCAUAAAGAAAUCACCAUAAUUAGAAUUUUUUUCUCAUCUGUUGACCCAUCUUGAAAAAUAAAUCUGAGAAGGCAUACUACAAAGAAGCUCCUGCCCUGGCUGGCUGGCUCAGUUGUUUGGAGCAUUGUCCUGUACACCUGUGAGUUUAAUUCCUGGUCAGGGCACAUGCAUGUCUAGGUUUUCGGUUUUAUCCCAGGUCAGGGCUUGGAAGAGAGGCCUCUGAUUGGUGUCUCUCUCUCAUUCUCUCUCUUUUCCAUCUGUAAGCAUAUCCUCAGGUGAGGAUUAAAAAACCCCACAAGCUCCUGAUUAAAACAUAAACUAUAUUUUAACCCUUUCUGAUAGGUCCUAAAUUGCCUGGGCAGGAAAGUGAUACAUAUUUGAAACUUGAACCAUAGGGAGGGGCCAUGCAAAACAUCACUGGCCUAUUAUCACCCUCCUCCUCAUCCAGGAUUGAGAUAUAGACAUACGUACAUACAUCUCUAAAGGCCCAAACAACUGCCCAUUGGGUGGUAAAUGAGGAGUUUUAUACUUAUUUAAUAAAAGAUGAGAAUCAAAGGAGGAAAGGAAUUAAAGAAUCACAGUGUUCGUGUUUAGGAAUGACUACAGCUAGGCUUUCAGAAAUUAAAAUUGCAACAACUUAUAGGAUUAAUUGGAAAGGACUGCUGGUACAUAGGAAAUUAUUGAAGUGCUUCCAAAUCUAUGCUACUACAGUGUCACGCCUGACAUCCUUGUAUAUGUGACUUGUGCAUGAGUGUAAGAUUGAUGGUUCUGUUCAUAAAUAUGUCUUUCUCUCCACUGAGAAUGAGUAGAGUUUUGCAUGUAAUAAGCACUCCUUUAACUUUGCUCAUUAACUGAACAUAGGGCUGAUUUCUUGAGUUAUUUCAAACUGGGGAAAACUAGCAGGAGAGCUGUAAUAAAAACCUUCCAACCACAACACAAGCAGAAUAGAAUGAACCUUGAGAGAUAAAGCAAGAUGAUCCCAUUUGUCUGCUGGUUGCAAAGUUAGAUUAACCUUAGAUGAGGUGCAAUUCUGUGAAUCAUUCAGGAUGGAAACUUAGUGUAGGAGAAAGAACAGUGGCUUUGGUGUUAGAAAAUGUGAAUUAAAUUUCUAGCUUCAUUCAUUCCUGGAACCAUGACUGAACAGGUUUCUUUUAUCUCUCUGAACUUUGAUUUCCUAAAUAAACCAGCAGGAUAUUUGAGUGACGCAGGUGUAAAAGAGCACUGCAAGGGCCAUGAGCAAUCAUAUUUGAGAAGCCCUGGAUAUUCUUGAACCAGAAAAAAAAAGAAGUUGCCAAGUUUGAAUUAUCCCAAUAUUUUUAAGGAUUAUGUGCCAAAGACCACUUACUGUGACGAUACAUCUUUUCUGUUUGUGGCUUUGGAGAACCGAACAGGAUUCAAAGAGGGGUUUAACAAUAAGUCACCUGACUGCUCACCUACUUGUUCAGCCCCCUCCCCCCAAGAGAUUAUGAUGGGAUUGUUACCACUGACUGGGGCUGCCCUGUGCCAGAAUAUCAAGGAGGUGUCUCUGUAAGGACUUUUGGUCUAAGGACUCAGGUCAAUUCAAGUGGAGGCAUGCGGUUGCAGUUCUGGCAUAUUUGAAUAAGUUCUGCAUUGAUGGUGGACAUUUGUGUCUACCACCUAACACCCAUUAGAAAUCAGUUUUGCUUAAAUCCAACACAGGUUUUUUUAAAAAGAGAUACUCUGAAACUGCUCAGCUGUUUCUCCCAUAUUGUUGAAAAUGAUCUUGUCAGAAUGCAAAGCCUCUUUAACUUGUAAACGUGUCAUUAUACUUUGCUGUGAGUAAUGUGUAAGUUAAUGUCCCUCCCAUCCCAAUCAUAACAAUCCCUCAGCCAACUGUAAAAGAUCCUUUAAUGAUUAUUUUCUCUGCUGAAUGCCUUUUAUCAUCUGUGCUUAGACAAGUGGAGCUGGAGUGUCUUGCCUAUGUACCAUCAUUUGUUUUAGAGAUUCUUGGGGAACUAAAAAAUAAAAGGCAUUUGCAAAAAAUGUUGAAAGUUAAAUGGAUAUAUUAACAGAGUACUAACCAAUAAAUUAAAAGUGCAAUGAAAUAAAAUCGAAUUUUAAAUUUAAAAGGGCUUAUCUCAUGCAAAACAUAAGCUGUUCUAAAUUUUCACUAUAUAUAAAAUUGCACAAUUAACAAGGAACUCAUUGUGCUAAUGGUUUUAAAAUAUUCAUUUUAGGCUUAUUGUUUCCAGUUUACAUCUUUUGGAGUGCUUCCACAUAUAAACACCACGACAAUUCAUUUAAAAUGGUAUUUUUAAAGUUUCCUAAGUGAUUUGGAGACCCAAGCCUUUUUUUUUUUUAAAGGAAUUUCUUAGUCUGAUAAUUAGGUAAUAGCUUAUUCAUUCCAAAUGUCUAGUAAAGUUCCUCCUAACUAUUAAUUAUAUCAUAAUACAAUCUUCUAAGUGAAUCAAAAUUUUCAGAGAGUUAUAAUUUUUCUGGUCUUAUGCAGAAAAACGAUAAGUUAAAAAGAGAGCAAACCUACCGGGAAAAUGAAAUUCUGUCCUCAUUCUCCUUUGUGAGUAGGUUUCUGCUAGAGAAAGAGUGAGGACGAGACCAGUGGCUCCUGCUGUGUUGCUCAUGGUCUCCGAUGCCUGCCUUUUCCUCCCAGAACCUAACAUUACUGGAAGUCUUGGCAUCAUGCUGCACUCAACUCAGCUCAGUAAUCAAACUCUAAGUUCAAGUUCAGGGCCCAUUUCUUAUUUUCUCAGUUUCUACAAAAGUAUAUAUAAUGUAUCAAGUACUUAGCUGUUUGACAUUUAAACAAAUAUGUCUAGAAGCACAUACAUGUAUACAUAUAUGUGUGUGUAUUAUGUAAGAAAGAAUUUGUCUGGUCUUUGUUCCAGAUUCCCGGAAUAGAGGCUCUAAACCCUUAGAAUUUUCUGAGUGAUAGGAAUAUCUUUGUUGUUCAUGAUGGGUCCCCA
This is an RNA transcript of Myotis myotis, 5299 nucleotides long. It is a transcript of the gene named hippocampus abundant transcript-like protein 2, with no coding region annotated. The record is from RefSeq and is a predicted model, not a curated record. The transcript has 5 exons. Lineage: Eukaryota; Metazoa; Chordata; Mammalia; Chiroptera; Vespertilionidae.